GAGAGCAUGGCUCAGUGGUAGAGUAUUUGCCUAGUAGGUAUGAGGCCCUGAGUUCAAACCCUAGUACUGUUU
RNAcentral lists this transfer RNA (72 nucleotides) under Dipodomys ordii (Ord's kangaroo rat). It matches the Rfam family "tRNA". Rfam says of the family: Transfer RNA (tRNA) molecules are approximately 80 nucleotides in length. Their secondary structure includes four short double-helical elements and three loops (D, anti-codon, and T loops). The record is from Rfam by way of RNAcentral. Lineage: Eukaryota; Metazoa; Chordata; Mammalia; Rodentia; Heteromyidae.